GACGAACGCUGGCGGCGUGCUUAACACAUGCAAGUCGAACGGUGAAGCGCCUUCCUUUUUGGUGGGUGUGGAGGAGUGGCGAACGGGUGAGUAACACGUGAGUAACCUGCCCCCUUCUUCUGGAUAACCACAUGAAAGUGUAGCUAAUACGGGAUCUUCUGGGUCUGUCGCAUGGUGGGUCUGGGAAAGAUAUUGUAUCGGUGGGGGAUGGGCUCGCGGCCUAUCAGCUGGUUGGUGGUGUGUUGGGCUAGCAAGGCUGUGACGGGUAGCCGGCUUGAGCGGGUGAACGGGAUCAGUGGGUCUGAGCCGCGGCCUAUACUCGGAUGGGAGGCAGAAGUGGUGAAUAUGGCACAUUGGGCGGAAGCGUGGAGCAGCUAUGACGCGUGAGCGAUGAAGGCGUGUGGGUGGUGACCCUCUUUCGCGAGUGAAGCAGGUCUGCCUCGUUUGUGGGUUGGGUGACGGUAGUGGGAAAAGAAGCGCCGGCUAACUACGUG
This 494-nucleotide ribosomal RNA is filed under the name uncultured bacterium. RNAcentral's name for it is "partial 16S ribosomal RNA". It matches the Rfam family "Bacterial small subunit ribosomal RNA", at positions 28 to 507 of the family's 1533-position model. The record is from RNAcentral.